AGUCUGCCAGAUUGGCAAUUUGAAACGCACUGUCUGUGACGGCUGCUGAGGCUGCUGCGGGGGAGUGAAGGGCUGUCAUGACGAUGACCCCUGGAGGAAACUCUGAUUCCUUUAUCUAAAACCAUCACUAGCCUUACAGACAUCUGGAUUCCUGCUGCCUCUCAACCACGCAAAGGUUGUUUGUGCCUCACUGAAGAAGUCUUCCUCAGAAGCAAAUAGAGACCAGCACAGAAAACUACAACCGGACACAAUGCAGAAAUCAAUGGCUCGUUGGGAACUCGGCCACCAUGGAUAUACCUACAUCAGAGCCCCUGUAUCUGUGGCUCAGAAAAUGUCGAGGAAGAGAGGGCAGAAUAAUUAUAAGUGCCAGAAUACCAAGGAGUCUGCUGUGAGAUAGUCUGUCUUAGAAAUGACUGCAAAAACACCACCAGAACAAUGCUAAUGUCAGUAGACAUGCUAACAUGAAAGAGGGGGAAAUCUCAUGGGGUUCUACCCCUUGGCAAAGAACUUCAAGCAGCUAGAGGACUUGACUGCAAGAGGAGAAUUAGCCUACCAGGGAUGAAUCACAACACGCUUGUUCAGUGCAGAGUGGUCAGCCUUGAAGCCAUAUACACAUAAAUAACAGAAAAGACCAAGCAGAUUCUAUUUAUAAAUUUACGCAUAGACAUAAAGACAUAUAUGUAACAACUGUAACAACGAUACUUUAAAAGAGUCUGUUAACUUGAAACUGGAAGCGGGUGUUGAGAGGGCCUAGGAAAUAAGAGAAAGCGAAAGUGAUAAAAUUCUAUCUUGAUUAAAGUUGUAUUCUAAAAUUAACUAUUUAUGUAAUGUAUAUUUAAUAAUUUUUAUUUUCUGUAUAUUUCUAGCUGCCUUACUUUUUGUGUUAGUGGUGUAUAACUGAGAAAGUAUUCAUUCAGAGAGUAUGUAUAUUUUGGUAUAUGUAUGCACUGUUAAAUAAUUAUCACAAUUAAAUUAACACAGUACAUCAUAUCAUUUUGUUUUUUGUUUUAGACUAUGUAUGUAUAUUUUUACAUCCCAACUUCUUAGUAUGUUAAAGUACACAUUAUUAUAACCUGCAGUCAUAAUACUAUACAAUAAACAUAUACAACUCAUUCAUUCUAUUUGGAAAAUAAGUUUUUGUAUUAGAGAUAGAUAGAUAGAUAGAUAGAUAGAUAGAUAGAUAGAUAGAUAGAUAGAUAGAUAGAUAGAUAGAUAGAUAGAUAGAUAGAUAGACAGAAGGAUGGAUGGAUGGAUGGAUGGAUGGAUGGAUGGAUGGAUGGAUGGAUGGAUGGAUGGACAGAUAGGCAGGCUUAUUUAUCUACUCAUUGUGCUCAUUUUAGCCACUCUUCUGAUCAUAUGCCUCUUUAAGAACUUUAUUCAACUCAAAUAUGGAAAGGCAAUCCUUUAGAAAAAUAAUGGAAAUCAGUCUCUUGAUAUGAGAGAUUCUUUUCCAAGAUAUUGUCAAAAGAUUGUUUAAUUGUGUGUUUACAGAAUAAUUCAAUAGAAUUCAACAGCUUCUGUGAGUUAUUUAAGUUUUGUCUGACUUUUAAAUGCAUAGUCUGCAUACACAGUUUUGUUGUUAGCUUGGUUGGACUGAGAGAUACAUAGAUUAUUAGGGCAUCCCCUGGGGGUCUGAGAGAAGGGGGCUUCCAGAGAGUUGACUACAACAUGAUGAGUCUGACCUAAUCAGUGGUUUUUAUUUCAUUUUCAAUCCUGCUUUAUGAUGUGUGGAAGGAUGGGAGAGAUCUUAGGUGGAGUAAACCUCAGUACCUCACUAAGACAGUAUCAUAGCAGCAUCUCACUGUCUUAUAAUUCAUUCAGAAUUCCCUCGGAAAUGUUCGCUUUUCUGUCGAUCUCUCUGUCUGGCUUCUGCUUCUGCUCCUGUGUACUACUCCAGAUAAUAAUAUUUUGUGAUAUUUUUGUGUUGUAGACAUCUUCUUCCAUUUGUCACCCUCAGUUAAUUUUGUCUUUUCUGACUUGAGUGAAAACUCUUCAGUUAUGAUAUAGCUGAAUGUCUCAUUCAAUCUUGAACAUAGCUUGAUGUUUUACUUCUCAGUAGUUUGUAAUAUUUAACAGACCCAAUUGUUUUGUACAUAAAGGUUUCGUGUGUUCUUUAUUAAUUCUUGAGUCGUGUCAUUGUUGGCUGUGACGGAUCUCAUAUUUCCCACUUUGUACUCCAGUUGGUUGCUGGGAGACAUAGAACGAUAUUUAGUUCUUAUUAAUUUAUCUUAUAUACAACUUUAUUUUUCAUGUUUGUUGAAUUCGGUAAUAAAAUUCAAGUUAUCAUUGUUUUUGUUAUAUUCCUUUGCUACCUAAGCAUAAAUUGUUUUCCUUUGAUUAAUUAAUAUUUUAAAGGCGCCUGAUAGCUGUUCUGAUGUUUGCCUUGCCUUAUACUUCCGAGAUAGACUCAUCUUGAUGACAUUAAAAUGCACACUUGGUUCCUGUGAAUGGAUAGCUUCUUUGUACUUUUGCAACAACGCUCACCACCCUUCCUUUUCCUUGUAUCCAUCCAACUGGGGAAUCAAAUCUAUACCUGCUUUCAGGUGUAAGCUAAUUAGAUUUGUCUCUUUUUCCACUUCACAGAAAAACUGAAAAAGUGAAGGGCGAUGGUAAUGUGUGCCAUGGAACUUGGAAGAAAUCUCCGAAGCCUUUACUUGAUGGGGGAUGGGUCUGGCUGAGAUUCAAUUUGAUAACCAGUUCACAAUCACACUUUUCUCCCCUCUAUACUCAUCCAACCCUGCAGAGCCUACUUUUCCUGCAUGUUUUAAAAUACUGCUUAUAACUGUUAAUUUUUCUGUAUUAGCUUGUUAAACUAUGACAUAUUUCUCUUUUAUACAUUUUACUUCUAACCUCACUUAUUUCUUUGCCCAGUUUUGCCAGAUAUUUUACAUUCCUUUUUGGUUUGGUUUGUUGUUGUUGUUGUUGUUGUUGUUGUUGUUUUGGAAACUCAAACUUGUUUUCAGUCUGUGUUUUCUAAUUUUUGGUUCCUUCCUUGUGAUUUAGGUUUACAUUGCCCCUCAGUAUGUUUGCCCUUUCUCAGGUUAAUGUGCGAAUCUCAUCUCUCAAUUGCUCGCACCGUCCAUCAGUGUUUCUCUAACUAUACCUAUCUUUACUCAAUGAAUUUGAUAAGUUGAAUUUCGAGGUCAUUUAUGUCUAAGUAACUACCUUAUAAUAAUGUAUAUUUAUUAGCAUCUACAUAUACAGAAAAGAUCCAAGCUACCAUCUGAUAUUCUACUUUUAAAUUUAUGUAGUCAUGGCAGCCACUUUAACAUGUGCUACUGGAUGUCCCUGAGACCCUUCGUAGCUAAGUAUAUGAUUAAUUUCCAUGAAUGUUCUGUUUGCUUGAAAAUAAUGCAUUUUUCUCUUCCUUGGUUAUAUUUUCUCCAUCUGAUUUUAGUCUCUUCCACACCUACAAGCCAUAAACUUGCUUCGGAUAAAGCGACUAAGGUAUAUAAGACUUAAUGAUCACAAAAUGGGAGCAGAGAAAGGAGAUAUGGCUUAGCUUGUGAACUGGCUACAGAGGUGGGACUUUCAGAAAGGUUUUCUCUAUAGGAGCUGGCCAAUGAUUGGCUGGCAUGAACCUUGCAUGAGCUGCCAAAAGAGAAGGGAGCUUCCAACCAUCUUUUCAGACUCCCUGAUGUGCACAAAAGGAAACAGGGAAGUGGUUCAGGUUAAAGUGUAUCAUAAGUCAAGCACCAAAACUGUCUAGGACUCCUCCGUGAAUGCACACUGGUUUUAAUGUUCAGUUCCGUUAUUUUUAAUCUUCUAAAUAUUGACUUAUUUUGUAUUUGCUAGACUUACCAGUUUCUCUUGUUGUAUAAAAACUGCCAGGCACAAGGUUUUGUUUAUCCACUCCUGACCAUUUGUACAUACUAAUGUUUUAUAAAAUUUCAAGCUCUUUGUAUUAGAAAUAUAUAUUGUUGGGUACAUAAAUGUCAAGGCAUUUAUUAUCCUUUAUUCUGCAUUUUAUCAUUAUUCAGUACUUUUGUUUGUCUUGAGUUUUAUUUUGCCUAAUAAUGGAAUUUGUUCUCCUUCGUGCUUUGAAUGUUUUCUUAGUAUUUAAAAACUUCUCUAUAAUUGUAUGUCUUGUGAAUGUUAUUUUGAUUAUAUUUUAUUGAAUAUGGGAAUUCUUUGAUUUGUUAAAUGUUUUUUAUUAUAGUUACUGGAUAUUAAACUUAUAUUGUGGCUCC
This 4190-nucleotide long non-coding RNA is filed under the name Mus pahari (shrew mouse). RNAcentral's name for it is "predicted gene, 26691 (MGP_PahariEiJ_G0003536.1)". The record is from RNAcentral. Lineage: Eukaryota; Metazoa; Chordata; Mammalia; Rodentia; Muridae.